UAAUACGUAGGGUGCGAGCGUUAAUCGGAAUUACUGGGCGUAAAGCGUGCGCAGGCGGCGGCCCAAGUCAGGUGUGAAAUCCCCGGGCUUAACCUGGGAAUUGCGCUUGAAACUAGGUCGCUAGAGUGUGGCAGAGGGGGGUGGAAUUCCACGUGUAGCAGUGAAAUGCGUAGAGAUGUGGAGGAACACCGAUGGCGAAGGCAGCCCCCUGGGUCAACACUGACGCUCAGGCACGAAAGCGUGGGGAGCAAACAGGAUUAGAUACCCUGGUAGUCCACGCCCUAAACGAUGCGAACUAGGUGUUGGGGAAGGAGACUUCCUUAGUACCGCAGCUAACGCGUGAAGUUCGCCGCCUGGGGAGUACGGUCGCAAGAUU
RNAcentral lists this ribosomal RNA (376 nucleotides) under uncultured bacterium. Its description in RNAcentral is "bacterial SSU rRNA". It matches the Rfam family "Bacterial small subunit ribosomal RNA", at positions 521 to 895 of the family's 1533-position model. The record is from RNAcentral.